GCACUGGUGAGGAGUCCCACAAUAGGACGAAACAGCUGUUCAGUGC
Molecule: non-coding RNA, 46 nt
Filed under: Schistosoma mattheei
Lineage: Eukaryota; Metazoa; Platyhelminthes; Trematoda; Strigeidida; Schistosomatidae
Source: RNAcentral